Molecule: long non-coding RNA, 13363 nt
Filed under: Glycine max (soybean)
Lineage: Eukaryota; Viridiplantae; Streptophyta; Magnoliopsida; Fabales; Fabaceae
Description: long non-coding RNA (GMAX_LNC001648)
Source: RNAcentral
CCGGAAUCAACGAGAGAGCGUCGGCCAUGGCAACACCCAACAAGCUGGAAACUAUUUGAUUGUCGAAAAGAAAUUAACUUUACGAAUCAAAUUCGUUUUCGGAUCUUUUCCUGCUCGAAACGAAACAUUUUGGUGUUUUCUUCUUCCAGGUUUUCCCCCCACUCUCUUAUUUUCUUUUUGGGGAUCACAAACAAAAUCCGAAAUUCAAUUUUCUUUUUUCGGGAUAACGAGUGACGUGGAAAGCGACUUCGAUUGGAAAAUUUGGAAUUCGGAUCGAUCAGAUCCGAAUAAAAUUCGCGAAUUGAAACCAGAAAGCGAAGUUGAAAUUGAAAUUGAAUUGAAACCUAAUUUUAUUUUCCCCCAUUUUUUUUAUAGUUGAAAUGGAAAGUUUUGUCGAGUUUUUAAGAUUCGUGUAAUAAUAAUAAUAAUAAUUAAAACCGGUAAAUUUUAGAGAGUGACAACAUUUUAAUUUGUUUGUUAUACUAUUUUACGAGUACCCACUGAAGCUGAGGUUGAAAGUUGAAAGAGACUGAGGAAGUUACAUAAACGUCCCCUAUUUGUUACAUUUGUCAUGAUCGAAGGUAUUUUUGGAAAGAAACACAAUAAAUCCAACUUUAUUUAUUGUAAUUAAUAUUUUGCUAUUUAUUAAGUUUUGUGUCGAUUAAUUUCGGUAAUAUAUCUUUGGUUAAAAUUUAAUCUUCAUAUUCCUUUUUUUUAAUUUGUGAUUUUAGUUUUUCUAUUUUUUAAUUAAGAUAUUUUUCUUUUAUUUUUUAAAAAUUUCUAAUCUUAAUUUCCUUAUUUUUUUAAUUAAAAUAUUUUCUAUUUUAUUUUAAAAAAUUAGUAAUUAUAGUCCUUUUAAUCAAUUUUAAACUUGCUAAUUGUGUAUUUUUUUAAUAAAUUAAACUUAUUAGUCAUUAAAUAAUUACAAAUAUAUUUGUCAUGUUAUAAUAAACAAAUAUUUAUCAGCACAAAAUAAUUAAUGUUCGAAAUUGACCAUACAUAAUUAUUUUAAAAGUAGGAUGAAAUAUUUUAAUAAAAAAUAAGAAAUUAAAAUCAUGAAUUUUUUUAAAUGAAAAAUAAAAUAUCUUAAUUAAAAAAUAGAGAGAAUAAAAACAUAAAUUAAAAAAAAUAGCAAAACAAAACUUGCAUUUUAUUCUUUCUCUUUUUAUCCGUAGAAGAUAGUUUCCUGAUCAUCAUCUGCUAUUUUUACUUCUACGCUGACUAGAGAAAUCAACUGGCUUUUUUUUUUUAAUAAUUUUAUUUAUUUAGUUAAAAUAAAAGAUAAUAUUAUCAUUUUUCAAAUGAAAACAUGCCCAAACCAACAAUAUUAUUUUAGUCGAAAUUACAUCUUCUUUAUUACUUAAAGUAAUAUACACCAAACAUAAAAUUUUAGAUGAAUAUUUAUUUUCAUCAUUAAAUGUCAAUGACACUUUAUUCCCUUAAAGAUAAAAAAAAAAAACAAAUUUAAUCAUUGUCUUUAUAUCUCAUGUAUUAUUUGUUCUUAAGGUGCGUGUGUGGCUGUAAAACUUCUCUAGUUGGCCCUGACACUGAAACUCUCUCUGUCACUUCCCAUUCCCAAACGAUGCCGUACCCGUGGUUAAGCUUAACCCCUAACUCCUCCACACGCGUGAGGAUCGCCGCUAGAGGCAGAGGAUCCGACGGCAAUCCGCACCUUUGUGGGUGUAUGCGGUUUCAGUUUCAGUUUCAGUGAGAGUGAAAGAGUUAAAAGCUGCUGGGAAAGCUUCUUGAAAAGAUGAAUGUUCCUGGUUUGACAAGAGAAAAUGUUGCUAGUUAUUUGCAGGUUCAAUUUUAUGUGUAUUUAAUCUUGAAUACUUGCAAUAUUUGGUAACAAAGAUCGUUGAAUUUGAUUAAUGAUUAAUAUUUUUUAUUUUUUCCUAUAAAUUAAGUGAACCCACCACCAACAAUUUAGCCAGGGGACCUAAAUCUAAAAUUUAGAAUUAAUUCUAAGUUUUCACAGUCAACUAAUUGAAACUUGAAAGCAAGUGCAGUGUAGAAGCUUCAUAUGAAUUAACUAGCUGUAAUACUGGUGAGUUGCACAAGUUUAUUUUUUUGUUACAUCUGAGAAAAAAAAGGCAGCACAAAAAACUAACUAGAACCUCCUGGAAGCAAAGUCCCUUAUCAAAUGCAUUUAAAAAAAUAGUCCCUGUUAAAUAUUUUUCAGAGAGACUAAUACAAGAUAAACAAAAAUUUAUUAGAAAUUUAAAAUAAAAUAUCAAUGACCAAAAAUAUAUUUUAUUAGGAACUCGAUGUAAGAUAUAUUUUAGGAUUGUAAGUCAAAAUUUUCUAAUUUAUUUGGAACCGAAAAUAUAUUUAACUCUUAUUUUUAUUAACACUAACAUGCUGAUGAUUAAUUUUCCAUAAGAUUAUCAUUAUAAAAGAAAACAUAAAUAUUAUAGUUUAUUAAAAUAACUUAUCAAAUAUUUUAUUAUAAAUUAUAUAUUUUAUAUUUAUUAACAGUUAAAAAGGAUAAAAAUGAAAAAUAAUUAACCUAAAUCUAUGAUCAUUAAACAUUUUUUUAAGAAGUCAAAUUGAAUUUCAUUCAAGAUUAAAUUUUUUUUAGGGGAAUUCAAUAUCAAACUAAAAAUAAGAUUGUGAGAUUGAAUUACAUGUUUAGUUUGAAUAUAAUCAUAAAAAUGAGUUUGAAUAUAAUCAUAAAAAUGAGUCUAACGUAAAAUAUGAAUAAUUUAAAUAAGAUAAUAACAUACGCAUAAUAAAUUUGUCUCAUUCUCUUAAAUUAUGUGAAAAUCACUGGCUAAUUAGGAAAGAAAGGUUUUCACUCUCAAAAAUACACUGAAACGCUCUGGUUUGAAUUUAGUUAAGGGAAAGGGGGGAAAAACGGAUAUGCCCUAUAUAGACCCUCUUAAUGUUAGACGCAUCACUAUAUCAACCAUUAAUAAUAUGGACUCCGGUGUAUUUUGUUGUUAUGAAACAUUUAAACGUUCUUCAAAAUUGAAAUGAAAAUAAUGCUUAAAAGCAACCCAUAUGAAGUGAAUCCUCACGCCAAUAGACUGCUAGGGUGUUGCUAAGUGCAUGCACUCAAUACUUAAGGUGAAAUGACGAAAAUACUCUUAAUUAAGUCAUUUAAGUUAAUCCGUAAAAGACUUACGAAUCAACUUGAUCCGUAAGCCUUUUACAGAUCAACUUGAUCUGUAGAAGCCUUACUUGAUCCGUAAGUCUUUUACAAAUUAAGUUGAUCCGUAUGCUUAAUAUCAACAUACGAAUCAACUAGAUCCGUAUCAACCUUACGGAUCAACUUGAUCUGUACGAUUUACGGACCACCCUCACACACACCCAUCACAAAUGAAAAAAAGCGCAAGGAAAAUUUUAGUAUUUAAAAAAAAUGCUGGAUGCACCUAGCAACACCCGAUUGGUAUCACAAGUUGGCCUAUACAUUUAAAUGAGCAGCCCGCGAGACUUAUUCACAAAAUUAGGCUCUAUAUUUCUAAUUGAUACAUGAGAUCAUAGUAAAAGAAUCACAUUAUCACAUCCAAUAUGGAAAAUUAAAAACUUCUUAUUUGAGAAUAAUUAUAUGACAAGAACAAUUUAUACAACACUAUAUAUAUUGCAACAAACAUCAAAAUCGAUCAAAUGAAUGUUGGCUUAUAAACGAUUCUUCAAGUUCUCUAAAACCUCGGUAGACAUGUUCUGUUUGGUUCUGUGGAAGGGCUAACCUCCGCACUUCAGUCAUAUACCUGUAUGUAAAAAGUCAAUCAGAUCAAAACUUUAACUAGAUAUAAACAAUGCACCUCAAUGGAAGAUGAGAACAGGUGCACAGGUUAAAGAAUGGAAGAUUCGAGAAAUCAGCUAAUACAUGAUGCAUGGGAUCAAGGAACAAAUACAAAAAACUAUACCUCUUUCUAAUUGAAAGAAAUUAUGUCCACAAGAAAUGUCAAAAGGACUAGAUUAAUAAGAUGAAUAGAUGAAGGGAUAAAGAGGUCAACCUGUUUGCUGCACUUGUGAUCUUGUCCCGGAUUCCUUGGCUAGCAAUAGUACGUUCCGUUGAGAAUCCUCCACCUAGUAUUAAGGAAUGCCCAGUGGCACUACUGCUACCCAUUCUUUGUGAAUAUACAGACAUUGCCCACUCUCGAAGUACCACUAGAACCGAUCUCAGCAUACGUAAUCUAACACUUGGGGAUGGCAGAAUAGCCCCAUUUGAUAACAAUUGGUCGUAUGCAUUUAAUACAGGUUCAGCGGCACCCUUACAAGCAGAAACAAGGGCUCUUGCAACAUCUUCAUCUCCAACAGCUUCAACCCCUGAAUUUAACCUCUCCUAUAGAAAGACACAAAUUCAUAUCUAAGAUAAAAGUAAUAAUCGCACCAAAUCCUACCCGCCAGAACUGAAAGGCAUUCUAGAGAGUACAAGGGUAGAAAUAAUAACAUUCAAGUAGCAUCUACAGUAAAAAUCAAUUAGUGAGCCGGAAGAUGUACCAGUCCAGCCUUCUCUAGGUGAAGACAAAUAAUAUCAAGUGGUAAAACAGCUCCAUCACCAGGAUAAAUGCGGGGCCCGACCCUCUUCAGUACCGAGCAAGCUUCAGCAAUACCCCCUCUUGAUAUAGCUUGAUCCAUAAGUCUAGCCCAUGUCUCUCUGACAAUGCUGCUGUCAGUAUCACCAGAAUAAUUGGCAAAGUACAGCAUCUCCAGGCAUAUCUAAAGGAAAAGUAGGAAAUGAAGAACUGUUAACAGGAACUUCGAUAAAGAAAUUUCACAUUAUUAUGACAAUCUUUUCAACAAAAAUACUUCAAAACCACAAUGACAAAAAUAUCCAGCGGUACCAGUAGCAGAUAAUUAGUAAUGCUUUUUUGGCUUGAAAAUAGAGAAAGGAUUUGGCAGGAGAGAAGAGAAAAAAAAGUCACAACUUACCCACAUCUAAUUUUGUAUCAUAGGAAGGAAAAGAAAUCAUAAAUAUAUUUCACAGUUUGGAAUAAAUGGAAGAAAAGGAAGGAGGUUUACAUGAAUGAAUAAAUUUACCAGUUUACAUAACAUAAUUGAUUUGUAGAACUUCCAUAAAACAGGUGGUAAUGGAAUUUUGAAAAUUUAAAUUUAAUAAAAUGAGUAUGAGGACCUCAAAUCCUUCAUUUUCUUUCUUCAAAAAUAAUAAUUUAUCCUUUCUCUUCCCUACUUCAACAAAGUGACAUUUGAAAGCAAAUUGCUCAGAAUAAUUGAUAGAACACCAAUUAAUAGAAUUGAUGAAUACCAUUGUUAAAUCGCACAAAAUACAGACACUACAGCAGUAGUUGCUGUCCCAGAGACAGACUCCUACAGAGAUGAGCUUUCAGUCCAAGCUACAAGGAAUUAACACACAAAUCUCUCUGCUACUUCAUACUACACAUGUAUCUAAUACUAAUAAUAAAUAACUGAUCCUAACUUCAAGAACAUCCAGCAUCACAACUAUUACUACACAAUAUAUAAUAUAGCCAUACAUAACUUCUACCCUAAACAGUUAACAUAAUAGUUACUAUGCCACAUGCCCUAUUCUGGAAUACACUUUAAAGAUGGGCAGUUUCUUCCUUGGGCAACGAUCUAACAAUGGAUCCUUCCUUUCAUGCCCCACCUGAAUCUCAGUUGCCAUCAAUAAUCUAGAUACUAAAGCUCAAAAGACUUUGAUGGAUGCCUAGUAGUUUUCAUUAUCAUGCCUAGAUAGAUAUUCAACCAGUGCAAAACUAACAUAAUGUGAACAAGCAGAAGAGAAAAAUCUAAAGUUGCACAAAUCUAACCAAAAAACAAAACAAAUGAACAGACAAAAAAAAGAAUGAAAGUACCUCCCAGAGCCCAAAGGGAACAGCAUAUUCAUUAUAUAACUGGGUUAUGCUCUUUACAUCUGAAGCUAGCUCUUUAGCCUUCUCUCGUGUUGCAUUUGCAAAAUUAGCAUCAGCAGUAGAACUUCCCUCAGGGACUACACCAUUUUCGGCAGACUCUGAUGUGCCAGGUAAAACAUCAGACCUGGAAGCCAUAGACUCUAGUUCUUCUUUGAUUUUUAUCUGGAACCAAAGAACAGCGAGCUUCCCUUCAAGCAAAUCUAGGAACCCACUGUCAAUGGAAAUUCGACCAGAACCUACUAACCCAUCACUAUUAGUUGCAUUUUUUGCCUGUAGAACUGCAUUACUUAGGUAUUGACACCUGAAAUUUACAAAUUAAAAACUAUUAGAAGAUAUCCAUGCGAGCACAUAAAAACAAAUUUAGCAAUCCUACUUAAUUCUAGAGAACCAUGUAGAGGCCUUAAGUGGAAAAGGAGAUCAACUUGAUACAUGUAAAGUGCAGAGUCUUGCAAGUACAGCCAUGGACACGUUAGUGAAUUUGAGUCAUCACAAGCACAUAAGAAACGGUAGUUGUUUGAGAACAAAUUGUGAAUCAGGAAUCUAUUUCCAUGGUUUGUGUUAGAUCAAGUGUCAGUUUUACCAUUUUUCAGAUGAAAGUAGAACUUAAUAAAUCCACCUAUGAUAUAAGUGGCUACAAAAUUCCACUUAAACCCUGGUUAACAUGAAAGACAUCAUACACGGUGACUUUUCACUCACAACAUCAUCAGAUCAGUUAUGCUGUAAGGGUUCACUAAGUAUCGUUGUCUAUCUCAUCCAGGUUUGCAGAAAUAAAGUAGCAAACUACUCAGAAGGCUAGCAGUUUCAAAGGAAAUGUGAAAAAGGCGAUGAUAAAGACAAGGAAAGAGAGAACUUGAUUAACCUCUGUUCAAGAGUAGGAACUCCAUCAGUAGAACGCCUUUCAGCUAGUCUAAGCAAUGCAUGAGCUGCAAGCAUAUGUUGGCGUUUCAAGACAUAAUACCGUGCCAAAAGUUCAUAGUACUUGACUUGAUUAGAUGACAUAGGUGCUCCUGAUUGCCCCACUGGAGAAGUUGUGGCCGUCACAGCACGAACCUAGCAGAUCCAGAAAAACAAAAGAGGACUAAAUUUACAAAGAAAUAUUAUGAGAAGUAUGGCAGGGUGUAGCAUCUACAUGCAAAACAUAUACAAUCAAAAUUGUAAUACACAAUAUUUGUGCCUUUUGACCUAAUGAACAGCUAUCCAUCAAUUAGUUAUUGGGGAGAAAGAGAUAAUAAACAACCUCGUGUAUAGAAUUACGACCAGCACUUUGCAAAAAUGGCAACAGAUCAGGACCUCCAUACUCUAGCAAUUCAUUCUCAAGACCUAAAUCAAUCAUAGCCUGGUAAAGAUACUCAUGGAAAAUUCUGUCAGGUGAUUGGACACCCAGCUGAACAAUUUGACAUAUAUAUUUUUUCCGAGAGGCUGGAUCAAGAGCAGAUUGUGAAGCAGUUGAUUUAAUAGGAGUCCCAAAUUCCCUCUGUAAGUUGUCACCUUUCAGAGACCGCAAAGCACUGAUAAUUAUUUCAUAACACAGCUCCCGCUGAGCAAGUGCUUGCUCUCUGACAGUUGCAUCAAUAUCAUCAUUAUAAGCAUCGCCUGCAGGGUCAAGAGCCUGUGCCUUUUGUAGAGGUAAGCGCACUACAGCUUCAUAAAACCUACAGUGGGAAAGAGUAUUUGGCUUUCAGAUUGAAGGCUUAAAAUCAUAGGCCAUGAAAAAUAGAUGAUGCUCGUCAUGAAAAUGCAGGAGAGCAAGAAAGGAAAAAAAUAUGUACCUUAAAUCCUCAAAACGUUUGCAAACAGUUCGUAGGUCCACAGACUCUGGAACUUUACUUAAGGAAUUAAAUGCUUCCCUUGCAAGAUUCUCCUUGUCCUCGGCAUCUAUGGUCAUAGCAGAUCUCUCCAGGGCUUCCACGGCUAGGAAGAAUUUGUAAUCAGACUCCUUAUAGUAGCUUGGACAACCAUCUCUCAAUCUCCUACUAAUGUCAUCUACAGUGCCCCUGCCAUCAGGACCAGUAUAAUACUGGAGCAGAGUAUGUUGUUCAGGAAACUAAUUGUUAUAGAAGAUACAAAACUUUAUGUAAGAAAAAGAAAGAAAACUCCAUUAAUGCAUAAACUUUUUGUAGAUGAAAUCUCCUUCAUGGCUUCCUAAACAGGGAUUUACCUCCAUGAGAGCAGAUAUAAGUCUUGUAGCAAGAUGGUCUCCCUCCUCAGAACAAACUAGUUGAUGAAAUGUCAACUGAACUAAUGCUUGUUGAAGGUUAGAAUCAAAUCCCUGAAUCAAUCGAGUCACAUGAUGCUGUGAAAGAAGUUGAAGCAAAAAUAGGGCUUCACCAGAUCUAAGGAGCAACUGCCUAAUGCACUCCAUUGCCCUCACCUGUAGCACAACAAACCCAAGUGAAGAAACUAAACCAAUUACUUACAAAACAUGCCAUGCAAACAUUUAAAAAUGUAGGCCCACCUCCAUGGCAGCUAAUUCAGCAGGACUAUAUGGCAACCUUUGCCGUUUAUUAGUUGUUAUGCCACCAUUGGACUCCAUAUUUCUGGAAUAUGCACCAAAUAAGUUCCUUACCAUAUUUCGAUCCCCAACUCCUAAUGCCGAACCAUUACCAUACAGAAUCGAACCACUCAGAUCUCCUAAACCUGCUACACAGCCAUAAAGUCCCCUCCUCUGGUUCCUUCUAGAUCUUAAGAAUUUCUCCAAAGAUCGGAGUUUCUGUUCAAGGACUUGCAUAGCCCCAACAGAGAGUCUGCACACAACUACUCCAUUUUCAGAUAGAGUGCCUGAAGGGCCUAAACUUCCCUUUACAACCAUUACAGGAAGUUCCCACAGAGGAAAAAGUAAUCUAGACGAACACAGACAGAGCCCUUCAUGUGCACCUGAAAAAACAGGCUCAGCCUCCUGAACAACCUGGCCCAUGCUAAAUCCACCAGCAGCACUUCUUGUGUUUGAUAAUGCAUUACUGCCUUCAAGUUGUGGCAUGCCAACAACUCUUGGGUCCUCAAAAGCUUCAGCUGCCUUCUCAGCAAUAACAUUGCUGAUAAGGUUUUCAGAAUGCACUAUUCUUGCAGCUAGCAUUAGACACAUUGCAGCUGCCUCACCUGCACCAAAACGAUUGAAGAAAUCUUCUAAAACUGAUCGUGGAGAGUUGGAUUCCAAUAGCCGCCUUAUAAUGUCCAGUGGCCUGUUAAAAACAAUUUCCAUCAUGCCCAUGGUGCUGAAGACAACAAUCCUUCUUCUUGGUAGUAUAUGUUGGGUUGCAAGAUCUCCUCUGGCCCAUAGUUUGCCAGACACCCUUUCACAUGAUUCCAUAGAGCUCUCAUAACCACCAAACUCAAUUUCCGAAUAUAGAGAUUGCACAGUAGCUGCGGUAUCUGGCAAAGGUAAAACAUCUGCCACAGAAAGCAUUCGUCCUUCAACUGGUAAGGAAGAUACGGACUCCCUUAAUGCCCGGGAACUCCUCGUACUUGUUCCUAGAUUACCUGACGGCGAUGAUUGCGUGCUUGAAUCCCUGUUCAAAACAAGGAGUGAAGGCAUGGUAGAAGGUGAUGCAUCAGAAAGUAUAAGGGUUCCAGCAGAAUAAUAAGCUGCCUCAACUUUCAGGGAGAGAUCCUCAUUCUGAGGUCUACCAGCAAGAGCCAUGGCUCCAAAGGUGAGACCACCACUAACACCCCAAGGAGGAGCAGGCCUUGUAGUGACAACCUUUAAACAGCUAGGCUUGUGGUGGUUGGUGUUGAACCCAGUCAAGCUUCCACUAGAAGGAGAGGUAGAUAGGUACAUCCUUCUGCCAUCAGAUAAAACAGCAACAAGAUGUAGCCACUUGGAUUCAAGUGUAGAUAAAGGUGAGAUGCAAACAAUAGAUGGCUUUGGAGAUCGACUUGAGACUCUUGACCCUGUGGAUUGUCUAGCACCAUAAUGUGCAUCCCUCUGAUUGACAAGAUUUCUUUCUUCAGCUACUUUCUUUAAUGGGCCAUCACCAUUUGGUCCUAGAACAUAAACUUGUAGCUUCAUCUCUUCAGUUCGUGCAUACAAUAUUUGUCUCUCGUUGUCGAAAACCAUUUCAACAAUGGGGUCAACAGCUCCAAAAUUGAAUACAUUUGGUAUAACCCAUCUGCAAAUAACAGCUAAUAUUAAUUUACUAAGGAAUUAGCAAAGAAAUGUUUAGCUAUAAAAAAUCAGGUAACUUUAUAUACUGUUUAGGAAAUGUACAAACAAUUCUACAAUUAAAAAAAUAAUUUGCAAUCAAGCAUGACCUGUAUAUCUAAAACGAUUAAGAAAACAAAAUGUACCUUGAAAUUACACUUCCUAAACCAGCAGUGAUGCAGAUUUUUCUGCACCGUUUUUGCCAUCCAGAACCAGUUGAAUACAGAAUCUCAUAUAUGUGGCCAUCCCGACCAGCGAGGAAAAUGCGGCCCUUAUCAGUACAUGCUACACAAGUCAUUGUAACCCCAUCAGAAGGUAUUGUAUGCUCUGGCAAUGGCUGCAAUGUAACUUCUGCAAAUGGAUCUGAACCAUCUGCUCCUCCAGAGCAGCAUACUCCUACUAAAAUUAACUGAUAAAAAGAGCAAGGCAAGAAUAUUAAAGAAUAGUAUAUAAAAAACCUUAUUGACUGAGCCAAAAUUACAAAAUCUCCAACUUCUUAGUAACAUGAACUGGAGUAGAAAUGAAGGGAUAAAUAAUUCAGAAAGCUAACCAAACUACUUAUUAUCAUUAUCAAUGCCACUGGAAAAGUUUAGGGAAAACAGCUGCUUUUUGCCAUCACCGGGCAACCAGCAAGCCAAGAAGAUACAAUUCAACCAUCCACAUAGAGAUAACCAAAUAAAAUCAAGUUGAAAAAGUUGAUCAACAAUUUAGAAAUGUUCAAUUAAAACAUUCAAGAAAGAAAUAAGAUAUUGCUAAGGUAAACAUAAGCAAUUUAACACAUAACAAAAAGAAUUAGUUCAUAAAUACAAUAUUCAAUUCCACACAUCCUUGGAAAAUCUCUAAAUUAAAAUGGUUAAUACCUCAACAGGUGUCGCUAAAACUAAAAGAUAUUGGAUAGCUUCAACAAAAACUCCAGGUUUUGAUUUUGCAAGACCAACUGCACAAAUAGCUUGUUCUUCCCCACUAAAUUCAGGACAUUGGCCAUCCCUGUGGAAGCAACAAUGUUAGGUUAGAAGUACUGCAGCACAUGUAAAUAUGAGUUCCGCUAAAUAGCUCUAAAGGUUUUAAAUGAGAACACAGCAACAAUUAAAACAAAAUUUAGCCCCGUUAGAUUAUUCCUUACCAAUUUAUUGUAGAUUAACAAUUAAACAGACAAAAUAAUUAUAAAACAGAAAUUGUAGUACAAAAAAGAGAGUUCAAACAAAAACUUAAAGAAAUUAAAUCCAUAGAAAUCUUAUCUUCAAACAUCUAGCACCCUUAAACCUUUUCUAACAGCUUAGUCAAAAACAUUGUCCCAGUAACAUUCAUACACCUAUCAGGCUACUGCUGAAACUAGAAGCAGAGACUAUUGCAAAGAACCAGCGAAUAACACGUAAUAAGAAUUCAUGCAAUAGUCUGUGAGGGCUCAUGCCACAAAUGUAAAGCAAUGAAAAUGUGAAAGAAAAAAAAGGGGGAAAUAAUAUAUUUUUUUAAAAAUUUAAUAUGGUCGCAGAGAGAGAGUAGAUCACUGAUAAAUAUGAAGUCCUUUCAUUGCUUGAAUGUCUGCCAAGUAAAAAAUGCAGAAGGAAACUCCAUACAAAAGAAAAGCCGGAAAGACAUCUCUCAUUCAAAAAUGAGUAAGGGAAAUGCCUAAUCCUGUAUCUAAACUUACUUGUCAUCAUAGAACUUACCACUUAUCAAAACGCCAAAGAAACAAUGAAUUGUCCACAGAUGCCCAUGCCCUUCGUAUUUCAGGAAAUAUUCCACAAAAAGCAGUUCCUUCCCCACCAGCUGCAUUGUAUCUUUCAAUGAGCACGGGAGGCAACUCCCAGGUAUUCACCACCUCAACUAAAGGGGGCCACUGAAAUGACAUUAAAUAAUGCAAUUAGUCGGAGAGAGUAAAACUGAACCACAACCUCAUUAAUAUGCUAACAGACACACCCAUGGUUUUAAAAAAAGUCUGCAGCCGCAGUGUUGUUAAAUGGCAGCACCAUGGUGGAAUGGCAUGACAGAUUUUUUGCCAACCGCCAUAGGCAAUUUGUGAAUGGAGGCCAGCUAUGGUAGCGCCAUAGGCCGCAAUGACAUGUUUAUAUGGUGGAAUUUUGGCUUUCUGCCAUUGAUGACACUGCGCAACUGUGAUUUUGACUGCAAAGUCAAGGUUUUUCAAGAGCCCACAACCGUAAUUGUGGCCACAUUUGCCCGCAAUUUCCUACAAUAUCAAGACACGCAACAAAACCAUGACUGCUAUUUAAAACCUUGGACACACCCUUUAUCUAGAAUCCCUAUUGUCGUUUUGAUAUUCCCCUCCUCCAUAAUAUCUCCAAAUAUCAAUCAGCCAUUCCAUUCUAAAAUCAACAAUUAGCCAUUUCCUUCUUUUCCCCAAUUUCCCACAGGUGUCCUUUGUAGGAGGCAUUGGGCACUAAAUGUAAGCGCCUCUCCCACGUGUUUGAACCUUCCCAAACAAAUAUGACUUUUCAUGUGAAGCGAAAAUAAAAUUUAGCACAAUUCUACACUAAUAAUAAAUGUUGAAUUUGGUUUUCCCCAUCCCAAACAUUCAUUCCGGGCACGCACACCAUAGGGAUCCCGAUGCUGAAUAACUAAAAUUUAGCACACAAACGAGAGAAACGAGUUUUAAUUAUUCUCGGGUGCUAAAUGUAAAGGCCUCUGCCUCAUUUGUAUUAAUCAAACGGAUUUAUUUUUUUUUAAAAAAAACUAAGAAAUGUUGGUGAAAAGUGUAAUCAAGCAAGCCCUAAAACUACAAUUACGGAGCGUGGAUAGUUGAACACAACAAGAAGAAUAAUAAGAACAAGUCGAAACCCUUUGAUUUUGGGGGUGAUAUGCUACCUCUCGGGGGUGAGUGGAAUAAGGGUGGCUAGCGUAUCUGGAAGCUUCUAGAGCUUCUUCGAGGUCGAGCUGAGACGAAACUUCGCGACCAAUGCGAUCGCUGACAACAAGCCCCGCAUUCGUGACAUCACGCAUCACAAUCUCGUCUUCCCACGACAUUCCGGAAUGAAAUUGAAGAAGCCCUCUUUCUCGUUCUUUCGUGGCUUUCCCGAUAAACAAAACGCUAAAUAAUGCAAAUUGAAAUAGGCGGAAGAGAGGGGAGAAAGGAGUCUCGUGGUGUAGAAUGGAACUGAGAAGUGUGAGAACAGAUGGCGAUGUAGGGUUUUGGGGGGGCUUUCGUAAAUUGAUAGUGGCGGGCAAACACUUUCGUUUUCCGACCACUACAAAAUAAAUAAAUAAAUAUAGGUUUAUUAAGUAAGUAUUUACUCAUGAAAGAAACCUAGGACUAGUUGUUGUUCAUUCCUCUCUUUUUCUUCUACUUUUCUCACCAUGGUAAUUGAUAAUACUUAUUUUACUAACUUUGUUUGUAGGGCUUACCCGUUGCUUUAAAGAGUCCUGUCUAGUU